Molecule: ribosomal RNA, 540 nt
Filed under: delta proteobacterium enrichment culture clone MLSB10m14G
Lineage: Bacteria; Deltaproteobacteria
Description: bacterial SSU rRNA
Rfam family: Bacterial small subunit ribosomal RNA
Source: RNAcentral
UCGAGAACUCCUUAGCUUGCUAGGGAUAGUAAAGUGGCGCACGGGUGAGUAACGCGUGGGUAAUCUAGCUUCGAAUCUGGGAUAACAUGCCGAAAGGCUUGCUAAUACUGGAUAAUAUCUGUAAGGCACAUGUUUUGCAGAUCAAAGGUGGCCUCUAUAUAUAAGCUACUGUUUGAAGAUGAGCCCGCGUACCAUUAGCUAGUUGGUAGGGUAAUAGCCUACCAAGGCUACGAUGGUUAGCUGGUCUGAGAGGAUGAUCAGCCACACUGGAACUGACACACGGUCCAGACUCCUACGGGAGGCAGCAGUGAGGAAUUUUGCGCAAUGGGGGAAACCCUGACGCAGCAACGCCGCGUGAGUGAUGAAGGCCUUCGGGUCGUAAAGCUCUGUCAAGUGAGAAGAAUAUAUUGUGUGCCAAUAACAUGCAAUACUGACGGUACCACUAAAGGAAGCACCGGCUAACUCCGUGCCAGCAGCCGCGGUAAUACGGGGGGUGCAAGCGUUAUUCGGAAUUAUUGGGCGUAAAGAGCACGUANGCGG